AUUUCAUAAGACGUUUUUCUCUUUCCCUAGCUUUUCUCUCUGUGAAGACGAACAGCUUCCUUCCUCCAUCUGUGAAGGUAUGCUCCCUAAUUUUUCUUUGAUCAAUACCUCGUUGGGUUUUCUUCUUGUUAUUAGGUUAUAGGUUGGGGUUAGGGUUUAUGCUUGUUACUAGGAUUUAUGCUUGUUACUAGAGGAAACGAACUAGAACAGAUUUGGAAGGGAAUGCUAUCUCAAAUGUGACCACCCAGCAAGCUAUGGGAAGAAUUAGCCUUAGCAUUGAUUCAAUUGUCACCGACUUCCGGAUCCAUAACCUAAUGGCAAAAAGGGAAAAAGAGAGAGAGCAGCAGAGUUAUAUGUGGGAUGCCAUUAAGGAGACCCCAAAUUUGGAUGAACAUGCUCGUUAUAAAGUGCUCUCUUUGUUGCAUAGUAACACAAAAAAGGAUGCAUUUUUGAAAAUGUCUCCCGAGGAGCGC
Molecule: long non-coding RNA, 473 nt
Filed under: Prunus dulcis (almond)
Lineage: Eukaryota; Viridiplantae; Streptophyta; Magnoliopsida; Rosales; Rosaceae
Description: sRNA ncRNA
Source: RNAcentral